AAACGGCCCCAGGAAAUUCCCAGGGCAAGGUCGUUUUCGGAGAACAAAGUCCUCUCGCCCCCUCCCCACGCCUGCAGCGAGACAAAAAGCCUCAGGGAGGUGAGAGGUGCCGCACCCCGGGAGCUGGAGAGAGGAGUCUGGGACGGAGAAACUUUAAAAAGUAAAUGCCCAAACCAACUCCUUGAAUGUCCUACAAAAGAAUAAGAAAACCCCGAGGGAGGUGAACCACAAAAAUUGCUUUGCAAGCAAUGUCCGGCACCAUCAGCAACUCCUACUGGACUCCCAGGAGUUUGCAAGCGUUCUUAACCCCUUCGGACGCUCCAGCCAGAUGCCAGUCAAACAGAUGAUGCUCUUGCCUGAGGGGAAAGGAAAGACACAACCUAGUGCCACAGGUUUUACUCAGAAACUGUUUCCCCAGCUUCUCCAGCUCUUUGUACUUAUUUGUGUGUUUUUAUAUGCAAGUUAGAACUAACAGUCUAUUAAAGCUGUUAGAUGGAGAUACAUGUUCCAUCCCACCCUCAGCCACACCUUGGAUUUUAAUACUUCUGGAACGGUGCCUGCAGGUACCAGGAAGAGCUAAACAACUUCACCUGUUGAAGACUGGCUAGUGAUGGGGAACGGUCCUCCUGCUUCCCGCUUUUGUUUCCACUUCCCCCA
Molecule: long non-coding RNA, 657 nt
Filed under: Homo sapiens (human)
Lineage: Eukaryota; Metazoa; Chordata; Mammalia; Primates; Hominidae
Description: HSALNT0211060
Source: RNAcentral